Molecule: ribosomal RNA, 253 nt
Filed under: uncultured bacterium
Lineage: Bacteria
Description: partial 16S ribosomal RNA
Rfam family: Bacterial small subunit ribosomal RNA
Source: RNAcentral
UACGUAGGGAGCAAGCGUUGUCCGGAAUCAUUGGGCGUAAAGCGCGCGUAGGCGGCCCUGUAAGUCCGUUGUGAAAGUCAAAGGCUCAACCUUUGAAUGCCGAUGGAUACUGCAGGGCUAGAGUCCGGAAGAGGCGAGUGGAAUUCCUGGUGUAGCGGUGGAAUGCGCAGAUAUCAGGAGGAACACCAACGGCGAAGGCAGCUCGCUGGGACGGUACUGACGCUAAGGCGCGAAAGCGUGGGGAGCGAACAGG